Molecule: long non-coding RNA, 4282 nt
Organism: Coregonus clupeaformis (lake whitefish)
Lineage: Eukaryota; Metazoa; Chordata; Actinopteri; Salmoniformes; Salmonidae
Exons: 3
Source: RefSeq, a predicted model, not a curated record
UGUUCCAGUUCUUACCUGGGCAGGUGUGGUGGUGGUGAGGUGUGUUCCAGUGGUGAGGUGUGGUGGUGAGGUGUGUUCCAUUGGUGAGGUGUGGUGGUGUUGGUGAGGUGUGUUCCAGUUCUUACCUGGGCAGCUGUGGUGUGUUCCAGUGGUGAGGUGUGGUGGUGAGGUGUGUUCCAGUCCUUACCUGGACAGAUGUGGUGGUGAGGUGUGUUCCAGUGGUGAGGUGUGGUGGUGUUGGUGAGGUGUGUUCCAGUCCUUACCUGGACAGAUGUGGUGGUGGUGAGGUGUGUUCCAGUUCUUACCUGGACAGGUGUGGUGGUGGUGAGGUGUGUUCCAGUCCUUAACUGGGCAGGUGAGGUGUGUUCCAGUUCUUACCUGGACAGGUGUGGUGGUGGUGAGGUGUGUUCCAGUUCUUACCUGGGCAGGUGUGGUGGUGGUGAGGUGUGUUCCAGUCCUUAACUGGGCAGGUGAGGUGUGUUCCAGUUCUUACCUGGGCAGGUGUGGUGGUGGUGAGGUGUGUUCCAGUCCUUAACUGGGCAGGUGAGGUGUGUUCCAGUUCUUACCUGGACAGGUGUGGUGGUGGUGAGGUGUGUUCCAGUCCUUACCUGGACAGAUGUGGUGGUGGUGAGGUGUGUUCCAGUCCUUACCUGGGCAGGUGAGGUGUGUUCCAGUCUUUACCUGGACAGAUGUGGUGGUGGUGAGGUGUGUUCCAGUUCUUACCUGGGCAGGUGUGGUGGUGGUGAGGUGUGUUCCAGUCCUUAACUGGGCAGGUGAGGUGUGUUCCAGUCCUUACCUGGGCAGGUGAGGUGUGUUCCAGUCCUUACCUGGGCAGGUGAGGUGUGUUCCAGUCCUUACCUGGGCAGGUGAGGUGUGUUCCAGUCUUUACCUGGACAGAUGUGGUGGUGGUGAGGUGUGUUCCAGUUCUUACCUGGGCAGGUGUGGUGGUGGUGAGGUGUGUUCCAGUCCUUACCUGGGCAGGUGUGGUGGUGGUGAGGUGUGUUCCAGUCCUUAACUGGGCAGGUGAGGUGUGUUCCAGUCCUUACCUGGGCAGGUGAGGUGUGUUCCAGUCUUUACCUGGACAGAUGUGGUGGUGGUGAGGUGUGUUCCAGUUCUUACCUGGGCAGGUGUGGUGGUGGUGAGGUGUGUUCCAGUCCUUAACUGGGCAGGUGAGGUGUGUUCCAGUCCUUACCUGGGCAGGUGAGGUGUGUUCCAGUCUUUACCUGGGCAGGUGUGGUGGUGGUGAGGUGUGUUCCAGUUCUUACCUGAACAGGUGAGGUGUGUUCCAGUUCUUACCUGGGCAGGUGUGGUGGUGGUGAGGUGUGUUCCAGUCUUUACCUGGGCAGGUGUGGUGGUGGUGAGGUGUGUUCCAGUUCUUACCUGAACAGGUGAGGUGUGUUCCAGUCUUUACCUGGGCAGGUGUGGUGGUGGUGAGGUGUGUUCCAGUUCUUACCUGGGCAGGUGAGGUGUGUUCCAGUCUUUACCUGGGCAGGUGAGGUGUGUUCCAGUCCUUACCUGGGCAGGUGAGGUGUGUUCCAGUCCUUACCUGGGCAGGUGAGGUGUGUUCCAGUCUUUACCUGGACAGAUGUGGUGGUGGUGAGGUGUGUUCCAGUCCUUACCUGGGCAGGUGUGGUGGUGGUGAGGUGUGUUCCAGUCCUUACCUGGGCAGGUGAGGUGUGUUCCAGUCUUUACCUGGACAGAUGUGGUGGUGGUGAGGUGUGUUCCAGUCCUUACCUGGACAGGUGUGGUGGUGGUGAGGUGUGUUCCAGUCCUUACCUGGACAGGUGUGAUGGUGGUGAGGUGUGUUCCAGUUCUUACCUGGGCAGGUGUGGUGGUGGUGAGGUGUGUUCCAGUCCUUACCUGGGCAGGUGAGGUGUGUUCCAGUCUUUACCUGGACAGAUGUGGUGGUGGUGAGGUGUGUUCCAGUUCUUACCUGAGCAGGUGAGGUGUGUUCCAGUCCUUACCUGGGCAGGUGUGGUGGUGGUGAGGUGUGUUCCAGUCUUUACCUGGACAGAUGUGGUGGUGGUGAGGUGUGUUCCAGUUCUUACCUGAGCAGGUGAGGUGUGUUCCAGUCCUUACCUGGGCAGGUGUGGUGGUGGUGAGGUGUGUUCCAGUUCUUACCUGGGCAGGUGUGGUGGUGGUGAGGUGUGUUCCAGUGGUGAGGUGUGGUGGUGAGGUGUGUUCCAUUGGUGAGGUGUGGUGGUGUUGGUGAGGUGUGUUCCAGUUCUUACCUGGGCAGGUGUGGUGUGUUCCAGUGGUGAGGUGUGGUGGUGAGGUGUGUUCCAGUCCUUACCUGGACAGAUGUGGUGGUGAGGUGUGUUGGUGAGGUGUGUUCCAGUCCUUACCUUGACAGAUGUGGUGGUGGUGAGGUGUGUUCCAGUUCUUACCUGAACAGGUGAGGUGUGUUCCAGUCUUUACCUGGGCAGGUGUGGUGGUGGUGAGGUGUGUUCCAGUUCUUACCUGGGCAGGUGAGGUGUGUUCCAGUCUUUACCUGGGCAGGUGAGGUGUGUUCCAGUCCUUACCUUGACAGAUGUGGUGGUGGUGAGGUGUGUUCCAGUUCUUACCUGGACAGGUGUGAUGGUGGUGAGGUGUGAUCCAGUUCUUACCUGGGCAGGUGUGGUGGUGGUGAGGUGUGUUCCAGUCCUUAACUGGGCAGGUGAGGUGUGUUCCAGUCCUUACCUGGGCAGGUGAGGUGUGUUCCAGUCUUUACCUGGACAGAUGUGGUGGUGGUGAGGUGUGUUCCAGUCCUUACCUGGGCAGGUGUGGUGGUGGUGAGGUGUGUUCCAGUCCUUAACUGGGCAGGUGAGGUGUGUUCCAGUCCUUACCUGGGCAGGUGAGGUGUGUUCCAGUCCUUACCUGGGCAGGUGAGGUGUGUUCCAGUCUUUACCUGGACAGAUGUGGUGGUGGUGAGGUGUGUUCCAGUCCUUACCUGAGCAGGUGAGGUGUGUUCCAGUCUUUACCUGGGCAGGUGUGGUGGUGGUGAGGUGUGUUCCAGUCUUUACCUGGGCAGAUGUGGUGGUGGUGUGUGUUCCAGUUCUUACCUGAGCAGGUGAGGUGUGUUCCAGUCUUUACCUGGGCAGGUGUGGUGGUGGUGAGGUGUGUUCCAGUCUUUACCUGGGCAGAUGUGGUGGUGGUGAGGUGUGUUCCAGUUCUUACCUGGGCAGGUGAGGUGUGUUCCAGUCUUUACCUGGGCAGGUGAGGUGUGUUCCAGUCUUUACCUGGACAGAUGUGGUGGUGGUGAGGUGUGUUCCAGUCCUUACCUGGGCAGGUGUGGUGGUGGUGAGGUGUGUUCCAGUCCUUACCUGGGCAGGUGAGGUGUGUUCCAGUCUUUACCUGGACAGAUGUGGUGGUGGUGAGGUGUGUUCCAGUCUUUACCUGGACAGAUGUGGUGGUGGUGAGGUGUGUUCCAGUUCUUACCUGAGCAGGUGAGGUGUGUUCCAGUCCUUACCUGGGCAGGUGUGGUGGUGGUGAGGUGUGUUCCAAUUCUUACCUGGGCAGGUGUGGUGUGUUCCAGUGGUGAGGUGUGGUGGUGAGGUGUGUUCCAGUCCUUACCUGGACAGAUGUGGUGGUGGUGAGGUGUGUUCCAGUUCUUACCUGGACAGGUGUGAUGGUGGUGAGGUGUGAUCCAGUUCUUACCUGGACAGGUGUUGUGGUGGUGAGGUGUGUUCCAGUUCUUACCUGGACAGGUGUGAUGGUGGUGAGGUGUGAUCCAGUUCUUACCUGGGCAGGUGUGGUGGUGGUGAGGUGUGAUCCAGUUCUUACCUGGGCAGGUGUGGUGGUGGUGAGGUGUGUUCCAGUCCUUAACUGGGCAGGUGAGGUGUGUUCCAGUCCUUACCUGGGCAGGUGAGGUGUGUUCCAGUCUUUACCUGGACAGAUGUGGUGGUGGUGAGGUGUGUUCCAGUCCUUAACUGGGCAGGUGAGGUGUGUUCCAGUCCUUAACUGGGCAGGUGAGGUGUGUUCCAGUCCUUACCUGGGCAGGUGAGGUGUGUUCCAGUCUUUACCUGGGCAGGUGAGGUGUGUUCCAGUCCUUACCUGGGCAGGUGAGGUGUGUUCCAGUCCUUACCUGGGCAGGUGAGGUGUGUUCCAGCCUUUACCUGGACAGAUGUGGUGGUGGUGAGGUGUGUUCCAGUUCUUACCUGGACAGGUGUGGUGGUGGUGAGGUGUGUUCCAGUUCUUACCUGGACAGGUGUGGUGGUGGUGAGGUGUGUUCCAGUCCUUACCUGGGCAGGUGAGGUGUGUUCCAGCCUUUACCUGGACAGAUGUGGUGGUGGUGAGGUGUGUU